Molecule: long non-coding RNA, 1851 nt
Filed under: Trifolium pratense (red clover)
Lineage: Eukaryota; Viridiplantae; Streptophyta; Magnoliopsida; Fabales; Fabaceae
Description: long non-coding RNA (TPRA_LNC004213)
Source: RNAcentral
UUGGCGACUACUGGUUACUCUGCUGAGUUUUCUAAACUCUGCCGUUAGACUCAAAUAAAAACAUGUCAACUAACAUAAGAAAUUGACACUCUCACAAGGAUGUGAAUUUUCCAAAAACUAAUUGUAUACUUUUGAUGAAAAUGUAAUACUAAUACUAAUACUUUACAACAUUGCAAAAUAGAACCUAAUUAAAUUAGUUACAUCAAACAACUUUCUAUUAACUUCAUCUAAACACCGACUGCGAAUUUGAUGGUAAUUGUUGCAACUAAAUUGGAACUUCUCGUAUAUUCAUAACUUCAGCAUCUCUUAGUAACAAGGGUGAAGUCAAGUCAAACACAAUUUUUUUCUCAAAAAGAACUCAUAAUUUUCAUCAAGAAUGCAAAUACUCAAUCCUACCACCUUGUCGUGGGCAUAAGGUUGCACUCUCCCACCAUUAGUUUCUUCCACAAAAUCUCUCAAACUUUGUGGUUUUUAACUGCAGGGAAUCUCAAUCCCAAUUUCCCUACCCCGCAACAUUGUUCUCUGUUUUUGAUCUUACUAGUAGCCACACUUUUUCAUUUCUCUUCCGCUAAAUGCAAAAAGUCUUNNNNNNNNNNNNNNNNNNNNNNNNNNNNNNNNNNNNNNNNNNNNNNNNNUUUUAAGAAAAACGCAUUAAUGAUAAUUUGUUUGAGGAUCUAAAGGUUUUUUUAAUAAAAAAUAGAAUUUUGCUCUUUGGACCCCCUAAAUUAUUUUUAGGUCCUCAAAAAAUUAUAUUUUUUACUCUUAAACCCAGUUUGAAAGUUACAUUAUGAAUUUGAUGUUGGUUCAAAACAUAACUUCCAAACUAUGAAACUAAUUUUACAUUGACACAAUUCAAAAUUUAUCUUCUGAAUCACUAUCAUCAUCGUUUACUCCCUUAACUACCAUUCUUCUUUCGAAAUAUUAUGAUUUCAAAAAAUAUUAUGAUUUUUCAUAAUAUUUGCAUAAUAUUCUCUUAAAAUGUCAAUUCUCUUAAUUUAAAAAAAAAUAAAAAUAAAUAGGCCCAGUAGAACAAAUAAAGAACAAAUAAAUAAAGAUGCCCCGACUCCACCUUUCUUUUAUACUCCCCAAAAAUCUUAUUUUGCCCCUUGCGGUUUGAAAAAAAUUUGCCAACAAACUUCGGAUUUUAUGAACCGAAGUUUUUAAACAUGGGAAAAAAAUUCGGUUUAUAUAAACCUAAAUUUAUGUGAAAAAAAAUUUACCACACAAAAAGAAAAAAAAUUUAUGUGAAAAUUCGUGUAGAGCUACCUGUGGUAAAUUUAGCAUAUCUCUCUGAAUAUAAGUCAUAUGCCAAUGAUUUUUAAUCUAGUGUAAAGAAGACAAAAUUUACUACAAGAUUGACACCGGAAUUGUUAAAUUUCAUUAAGUAUAGUAUAAGAAAAUCUACCUACUAGUUUUAGAAAAGUUUUUGCUCUGUUUCUGUACUAUUACCUAUUAUUUGGUCAAUAUGAACUAAUUGGAUAGUUAACACUCCAAACAAAACUUAUAUUUGUAUUCUUGACACCCUAAGCUUUCCAACGAGUGAUCGCUUACUCAAAUUGGACAUUGUUUAGUAUUUCAAAUAAAUUGUGGAAGUUGAGGGUCUCAUACAGAAUUUAUGCAGGAAAUCUGAAGAAAAAAAUAUUUGAAACACAAUAUUUCGGUUUAUAUUAACCGAAAUUUUUUAGCAUGACAAAAAAAUUCGGUUCGUAUAAACCGCAGUAUUCCAAGACAAAAAUGGAAAUUCAGGAGUAGAAAAGAAACGGGGUAGGAAGAGAAAACAUAAUAAUAAAUAAAAGAGGGAAAACAAAAUUUUCAGGUUAGAAUUGUUGUUCAUUCUUUCUCUUCUCUCUG